This is a long non-coding RNA of Papaver somniferum (opium poppy), 197 nucleotides long. RefSeq lists it as uncharacterized. The record is from RefSeq and is a predicted model, not a curated record. NCBI's taxonomy places the organism in Eukaryota, Viridiplantae, Streptophyta, Magnoliopsida, Ranunculales, Papaveraceae. The transcript is spliced from 3 exons.
GGGUGUGCUGAAGCUCAUGAAAGUUGAAGGCUUAACCAUUUACCAUGUGAAAAGCCACCUGCAGAAGUACAGAACAGCACGGUAUAGACCAGACUCGUCAGAAGGAAAUUCGGAGAGAAAGAUGUCCACGAUUGAAGAAAUGUCAUCUCUAGACCUGAAAACGUAAGUUGGACAUUUUAUUUUUAUUAGCUGAGAAG